This 110-nucleotide microRNA precursor is filed under the name Haemonchus contortus (barber pole worm). Its description in RNAcentral is "microRNA hco-mir-5941 precursor". The record is from miRBase by way of RNAcentral. Lineage: Eukaryota; Metazoa; Nematoda; Chromadorea; Rhabditida; Trichostrongylidae.
AAGCGCGGACUGUUUCAUUGUCUGUCAGUGGCAGAGGCAGCCGCAUCGUUACGCAGCUGCCGCUUAACGAUGUGCUGACCUCUGCGUUCGGGCUUAUCCAGUUAGCGCCG